RNAcentral lists this ribosomal RNA (440 nucleotides) under uncultured bacterium. RNAcentral's name for it is "partial 16S ribosomal RNA". It matches the Rfam family "Bacterial small subunit ribosomal RNA", at positions 338 to 795 of the family's 1533-position model. The record is from RNAcentral.
UCUACGGGUGGCAGCAGUGGGGAAUAUUGCACAAUGGGGGAAACCCUGAUGCAGCGACGCCGCGUGAGUGAAGAAGUAUCUCGGUACGUAAAGCUCUAUCAGCAGGGAAGAAAAUGACGGUACCUGACUAAGAAGCCCCGGCUAACUACGGGCCAGCAGCCGGGGUAAUACGUAGGGGGCAAGCGUUAUCCGGAUGUAAUGGGUGUAAAGGGAGCGUAGCAGGGAGCACAAGGCUGGAGUGAAAUCCCGGGGCUUAACCCCGGAACUGCUUUGGAAACUGUGGGGCUGGAGUGAGGGAGGGGUAAGCGGAAUUCCUGGUGUAGCGGUGAAAUGCGUAGAUAUUAGGAGGAACACCGGUGGCGAAGGCGGCUUACUGGACUGUAACUGACGUUGAGGCUCGAAAGCGUGGGGAGCAAACAGGAUUAGAUACCCCAGUAGUC